CACGGGGCGCAGCAGGCGCGAAACCUCCGCAAUGCACGCAAGUGCGACGGGGGAACCCCAAGUGCCACUCUUAACGGGGUGGCUCCUCGAGAAGUCUAAAAAGCUCUGAGUAAGAGCCUCUGC
This 123-nucleotide ribosomal RNA is filed under the name uncultured archaeon. RNAcentral describes it as "partial 16S ribosomal RNA". It matches the Rfam family "Archaeal small subunit ribosomal RNA", at positions 324 to 468 of the family's 1478-position model. The record is from RNAcentral.